RNAcentral lists this ribosomal RNA (1336 nucleotides) under Glutamicibacter uratoxydans. Its description in RNAcentral is "bacterial SSU rRNA". Lineage: Bacteria; Bacillati; Actinomycetota; Actinomycetes; Micrococcales; Micrococcaceae. The record is from RNAcentral.
CUCGAGAGUUUGACCUGGCUCAGGAUGAACGCUGGCGGCGUGCUUAACACAUGCAAGUCGAACGAUGAAGCCGAAGCUUGCUUUGGUGGAUUAGUGGCGAACGGGUGAGUAACACGUGAGUAACCUGCCCCUGACUCUGGGAUAAGCCUGGGAAACUGGGUCUAAUACCGGAUAUGACCAUGGAACGCAUGUUCUGUGGUGGAAAGAUUUAUCGGUUGGGGAUGGACUCGCGGCCUAUCAGCUUGUUGGUGAGGUAAUGGCUCACCAAGGCGACGACGGGUAGCCGGCCUGAGAGGGUGACCGGCCACACUGGGACUGAGACACGGCCCAGACUCCUACGGGAGGCAGCAGUGGGGAAUAUUGCACAAUGGGCGAAAGCCUGAUGCAGCGACGCCGCGUGAGGGAUGACGGCCUUCGGGUUGUAAACCUCUUUCAGUAGGGAAGAAGCGAGAGUGACGGUACCUGCAGAAGAAGCGCCGGCUAACUACGUGCCAGCAGCCGCGGUAAUACGUAGGGCGCAAGCGUUAUCCGGAUUUAUUGGGCGUAAAGAGCUCGUAGGCGGUUUGUCGCGUCUGCCGUGAAAGUCCGAGGCUCAACCUCGGAUCUGCGGUGGGUACGGGCAGACUAGAGUGAUGUAGGGGAGACUGGAAUUCCUGGUGUAGCGGUGAAAUGCGCAGAUAUCAGGAGGAACACCGAUGGCGAAGGCAGGUCUCUGGGCAUUUACUGACGCUGAGGAGCGAAAGCAUGGGGAGCGAACAGGAUUAGAUACCCUGGUAGUCCAUGCCGUAAACGUUGGGCACUAGGUGUGGGGGACAUUCCACGUUUUCCGCGCCGUAGCUAACGCAUUAAGUGCCCCGCCUGGGGAGUCSCCGCAAGGCUAAAACUCAAAGGAAUUGACGGGGGCCCGCACAAGCGGCGGAGCAUGCGGAUUAAUUCGAUGCAACGCGAAGAACCUUACCAAGGCUUGACAUGUUCCAGACCGGGCUAGAGAUAGUCCUUCCCUUCGGGGCUGGUUCACAGGUGGUGCAUGGUUGUCGUCAGCUCGUGUCGUGAGAUGUUGGGUUAAGUCCCGCAACGAGCGCAACCCUCGUUCCAUGUUGCCAGCACGUAGUGGUGGGGACUCAUGGGAGACUGCCGGGGUCAACUCGGAGGAAGGUGGGGAUGACGUCAAAUCAUCAUGCCCCUUAUGUCUUGGGCUUCACGCAUGCUACAAUGGCCGGUACAAUGGGUUGCGAUACUGUGAGGUGGAGCUAAUCCCUAAAAGCCGGUCUCAGUUCGGAUUGGGGUCUGCAACUCGACCCCAUGAAGUCGGAGUCGCUAGUAAUCGCAGAUCAUG